AUUGAACGCUGGCGGCAUGCUUUACACAUGCAAGUCGAACGGCAGCGCGGGCUUCGGCCUGGCGGCGAGUGGCGAACGGGUGAGUAAUACAUCGGAACGUGCCCAGUAGUGGGGGGUAGCUCGGCGAAAGCCGGAUUAAUACCGCAUACGACCUGAGGGUGAAAGCGGGGGAUCUUCGGACCUCGCGCUAUUGGAGCGGCCGAUGGCAGAUUAGCUAGUUGGUGGGGUAAAGGCCUACCAAGGCGACGAUCUGUAACUGGUCUGAGAGGACGACCAGCCACACUGGGACUGAGACACGGCCCAGACUCCUACGGGAGGCAGCAGUGGGGAAUUUUGGACAAUGGGCGAAAGCCUGAUCCAGCAAUGCCGCGUGUGUGAUGAAGGCCUUCGGGUUGUAAAGCACUUUUGGCGGGAACGAAAAGGACUGUGCCAAUACCACGGUUCGAUGACGGUACCCGCAGAAUAAGCACCGGCUAACUACGUG
Molecule: ribosomal RNA, 484 nt
Filed under: uncultured bacterium
Lineage: Bacteria
Description: partial 16S ribosomal RNA
Rfam family: Bacterial small subunit ribosomal RNA
Source: RNAcentral